RNAcentral lists this transfer RNA (74 nucleotides) under Klebsiella variicola. RNAcentral's name for it is "tRNA-Trp (CCA) (tRNA-Trp-CCA-1-1)". It matches the Rfam family "tRNA". Rfam says of the family: Transfer RNA (tRNA) molecules are approximately 80 nucleotides in length. Their secondary structure includes four short double-helical elements and three loops (D, anti-codon, and T loops). Lineage: Bacteria; Pseudomonadati; Pseudomonadota; Gammaproteobacteria; Enterobacterales; Enterobacteriaceae. The record is from RNAcentral.
AGGGGCGUAGCUAUUGGUAGAGCACCGGUCUCCAAAACCGGGUGUCGCGAGUUCGAGUCUCUCCGCCCCUGCCA